RNAcentral lists this unclassified non-coding RNA (213 nucleotides) under rhizosphere metagenome. RNAcentral describes it as "partial ribosomal RNA internal transcribed spacer region". The record is from RNAcentral.
GUAGGUGAACCUGCGGAAGGAUCAUUAGUGAAUUUAGCGCAGCUGCUUGCAGCGCGUGACCCCACUCUACACACUGUGCACCAUUGGCGGAGAGAGAAUGAAUAACUUUGGUCAUUCGGCCUCUUUUCUGCGGCUCAUUUUAAACACCAGUCAAAGUAUGUAUACGAAAUAUCGAAAAAAGAAAAACUUUCAACAACGGAUCUCUUGGCUCUC